Molecule: non-coding RNA, 107 nt
Organism: Gossypium hirsutum (cotton)
Lineage: Eukaryota; Viridiplantae; Streptophyta; Magnoliopsida; Malvales; Malvaceae
Source: Rfam
AAACCAUGCAUCGGGCAUUUUCUCAGUAACUCCUAAAACCACUCCCAUGCUUCAUAUAAUGCUUCAUCCUCUGAUUGUCUAAACGAUGUAAUAGCCUUCCUCAACUU